AGAACGAACGCUGGCGGCAUGCCUAACACAUGCAAGUCGAACGCUUCCGGGGCUUCGGUCGCGGAGGAGUGGCGCACGGGUGAGUAGCGCGUGGGAACCUGCCCUGUUGUGGGGGAUAACCGAGGGAAACUUCGGCUAAUACCGCAUACGCCCCGGGACUUGGUCUUCGGAUUAGGUCUGGGGGGAAAGAUUGAUCGCAGCAGGAGGGGCCCGCGUCGGAUUAGCUGGUUGGUGGGGUAACGCUCACCAAGGCGAUGAUCCGUAGCUGGUCUGAGAGGAUGAUCAGCCACACUGGGACUGAGACACGGCCCAGACUCCUACGGGAGGCAGCAGUGGGGGAAUAUUGGACAAUGGGGGCAACCCUGAUCCAGCAAUGCCGCGUGAGUGAUGAAGGCCUUAGGUUGUAAAGCUCUUUCGCCCGCGACGAUGAUGACGGUAGCGGGAGAAGAAGCCCCGGCUAACUUCGCGCAGCAGCCGCGGU
RNAcentral lists this ribosomal RNA (481 nucleotides) under uncultured bacterium. RNAcentral describes it as "SSU rRNA". It matches the Rfam family "Bacterial small subunit ribosomal RNA", at positions 26 to 521 of the family's 1533-position model. The record is from RNAcentral.